UACGGAGGGUGCGAGCGUUGUCCGGAAUCACUGGGCGUAAAGGGCGCGUAGGUGGCGCGGGCAGUCAACGGUGAAAGUUCGGGGCUCAACCCUGAAUCGGCCGUCGAUACUCCCGUGCUUGAGCACUGUAGAGGCAGAUGGAAUUCCGGGUGUAGCGGUGGAAUGCGUAGAGAUCGGAAAGAACACCAACGGCGAAAGCACUCUGCUGGGCCGACACUGACACUGAGAGACGAAAGCUAGGGGAGCGAAUGGG
This 253-nucleotide ribosomal RNA is filed under the name uncultured bacterium. RNAcentral describes it as "partial 16S ribosomal RNA". It matches the Rfam family "Bacterial small subunit ribosomal RNA", at positions 524 to 776 of the family's 1533-position model. The record is from RNAcentral.